RNAcentral lists this transfer RNA (74 nucleotides) under Listeria monocytogenes. Its description in RNAcentral is "tRNA-Ile". It matches the Rfam family "tRNA". Rfam says of the family: Transfer RNA (tRNA) molecules are approximately 80 nucleotides in length. Their secondary structure includes four short double-helical elements and three loops (D, anti-codon, and T loops). Lineage: Bacteria; Bacillati; Bacillota; Bacilli; Caryophanales; Listeriaceae. The record is from RNAcentral.
GGGCCUAUAGCUCAGCUGGUUAGAGCGCACGCCUGAUAAGCGUGAGGUCGAUUGUUCGAGUCCAUUUAGGCCCA